GGGAAGGUGGCUCAGUGGUAGAGCACUUGCCUUGCAUGCAUCAAACUUGUUAUGUGCCUUCUCU
Molecule: transfer RNA, 64 nt
Filed under: Dipodomys ordii (Ord's kangaroo rat)
Lineage: Eukaryota; Metazoa; Chordata; Mammalia; Rodentia; Heteromyidae
Rfam family: tRNA
About the family: Transfer RNA (tRNA) molecules are approximately 80 nucleotides in length.
Source: Rfam by way of RNAcentral